UUCAACAAUCAGCACCCAGGUUCUUCAUGAUUAUACUCUCUCAAACAAAUUCUCCGCUGCGAAAACCGUUUGAACCCUCGAAUCUCAGGUAUUGGGGAAUCUAAUUGGCAAUGUCAGUGAGAAAAGCGACGAGGAUAAUGCUUCUCUUAAAACUUUGCGAGAUGCAAGUAUGAAAACAAGGAUGGUAAAGGAAGCAUAUGACAUCGAGAAGCAUCAUAUAUAGUGGAUAGAAGGCUAUGCAGAUAUAUGUUCAACAAAUGGCAUGCCCAAUAAUGAUGGACGGGUAACUAUGAGAAGGUUAUGGAAUUGUACAAUGUCCCGAGGCUUAGCCGUAACUCCUUUCCUCUUCUAACUCCCCCAAGAUCUGAAAAUGAUAAUAGCACUAUCGGUUUUGGAGUUGCGGGAAGCAAUUCAGACGGACUGAAUUCAGAGUGAGUAGUUGAUUGUGUGUGAAAAGAUGGGCGUGGCCAUCCUAUUUAUGCAAAGGCUAGAAUUUGUCCAACUUGUGGAGGGGUUGGGAGGCUUUUAGUGGCAGAUUCAGCAUCUAAGCUAAGGUUGAACUCCAAACUUCUCUAGGACUCAAUAGUUGGUUUGGUAAAUGGAAAUCCAAAAGUUGUAUGGAAGGCAGGCAUGAACAAGCAAUUAUCCAACUAUACACCUCUUGAUGAAAAUGUGAAGGCAAAGCUCUCACAGUUUUCCCAACAUUUGGCACAUUCCUCCACUUCUUAGAGUAGGUGGUUUUGCUCUGUUAUUGAAUUGGGAAAUCUGGUUUAACCUCUAUCAAAUCAUUGCGAAUGUUGAACUUUUGAAUAUCCUUUUAUUUCCCUCAUGGUCAAAAGGCUCAUGAAUCUGUAUUAAAAUGCUCAACCUCUACAGAAUCCAGUACUAGAUUAAUGGACUAGGAGAGCUCAACUCUGCAGCUUGUUGUACGAGCCUGUGAGGAUAGCCAUGGUGGAAAGUACAGUGGACUUUCAGAUUCUUAUCUAUUUGUACUAAAGUUCUGUAAAUUUGCAAAACAAUCGUUGCCGUGAAGAUGUUUCGUACUAAGCAUUUCUAGGCGGAGACCAACAACAGCCCUCUCCAAAAGCAACGUGCUCAAGUGGCAUCUUAAACAAGUGGCAUUAGAAGAGGUGGAGUUAGAGGGUAAUGCCAAGGAGACUUUGGAGGUUGCGGCAGAAGAGUAAACACUUUCAGAAAUGCCUCCCUUUUAUAUGCGUGCAAGCUCUAUUAAAAUCCAUGUUAAAAUCAAUAUUAUGUAUUUGUGAAAGUUAAGUAGUACCGGAACCACGUACGCCUUUUACAAGCAACCAUUAUUUAUGCUGCAUGGCUUUAGUAUUUAUGUGU
Long non-coding RNA from Spinacia oleracea (spinach), 1344 nucleotides. RefSeq lists it as uncharacterized. The transcript has 12 exons. NCBI's taxonomy places the organism in Eukaryota, Viridiplantae, Streptophyta, Magnoliopsida, Caryophyllales, Amaranthaceae. The record is from RefSeq and is a predicted model, not a curated record.